CAGUAGCCGCGGUAAUACGGAGGAUCCAAGCGUUAUCCGGAUUUAUUGGGUUUAAAGGGUGCGUAGGUGGCCUGUUAAGUCAGGGGUGAAAGACGGUAGCUCAACUAUCGCAGUGCCCUUGAUACUGAUGGGCUUGAAUGAACUAGAGGUAGGCGGAAUGUGACAAGUAGCGGUGAAAUGCAUAGAUAUGUCACAGAACACCAAUUGCGAAGGCAGCUUACUAUGGUUUGAUUGACACUGUGGCACGAAAGCGUGGGGAUCAAACAGGAUUAGAUACCCCCGUAGUCCCUGUCUCUUAUAC
Molecule: ribosomal RNA, 301 nt
Filed under: uncultured bacterium
Lineage: Bacteria
Description: partial 16S ribosomal RNA
Rfam family: Bacterial small subunit ribosomal RNA
Source: RNAcentral